ACCGUUACAACAGUGUGUGCUGCGGCCCCGAGGUGAGGCAACGAGCCUUCGGGAGGUCUGGGGUCCGCCCCUUCACGCGCACGCGUCUGCCAUCCUUACUUUACGAGCACCUUCUGUUCUCCCUCGGCAUGCGUCCUGCGCUGCCGUUGGAAUUACAAAACUCUUUUUGCAUCUAGCAUUACCUGUUCCGACAAUAACAAUCGUUA
RNAcentral lists this unclassified non-coding RNA (206 nucleotides) under soil metagenome. RNAcentral describes it as "partial internal transcribed spacer 1". The record is from RNAcentral.